GAUGAACGCUGGCGGCGUGCCUAAUACAUGCAAGUCGAGCGAACAGACGAGGAGCUUGUUCCUCUGACGUUAGCGGCGGACGGGUGAGUAACACGUGGAUAACCUACCUAUAAGACUGGGAUAACUUCGGGAAACCGGAGCUAAUACCGGAUAAUAUAUUGAACCGCAUGGUUCAAUAGUGAAAGACGGUUUUGCUGUCCCUUAUAGAUGGAUCCGCGCCGCAUUAGUUAGUUGGUAAGGUAACGGCUUACCAAGGCGACGAUGCGUAGCCGACCUGAGAGGGUGAUCGGCCACACUGGAACUGAGACACGGUCCAGACUCCUACGGGAGGCAGCAGUAGGGAAUCUUCCGCAAUGGGCGAAAGCCUGACGGAGCAACGCCGCGUGAGUAAUGAAGGUCUUCGGAUCGUAAAACUCUGUUAUUAGGGAAGAACAAAUGUGUAAGUAACUAUGCACGUCUUGACGGUACCUAAUCAGAAAGCCACGGCUAACUACGUG
RNAcentral lists this ribosomal RNA (497 nucleotides) under uncultured bacterium. Its description in RNAcentral is "partial 16S ribosomal RNA". It matches the Rfam family "Bacterial small subunit ribosomal RNA", at positions 28 to 507 of the family's 1533-position model. The record is from RNAcentral.